CAUCCCUAUGAAGAAUGACUUAUGUCCAAAAUAUUAAAGUAGUGGACUGAUAUAUACAUGAUGAACAAAAGUAUUCUGAGGGAUU
This is a non-coding RNA of Spinacia oleracea (spinach), 85 nucleotides long. The record is from Rfam. Lineage: Eukaryota; Viridiplantae; Streptophyta; Magnoliopsida; Caryophyllales; Amaranthaceae.